RNAcentral lists this ribosomal RNA (446 nucleotides) under uncultured bacterium. RNAcentral describes it as "bacterial SSU rRNA". It matches the Rfam family "Bacterial small subunit ribosomal RNA", at positions 28 to 494 of the family's 1533-position model. The record is from RNAcentral.
GAUGAACGCUGGCGGCGCGCCUAACACAUGCAAGUCGAACGGCACCCCUCUCCGGAGGGAAGCGAGUGGCGAACGGCUGAGUAACACGUGGAGAACCUGCCCCCUCCCCCGGGAUAGCCGCCCGAAAGGACGGGUAGUACCGGAUACCCCGGGGUGCCGCAUGGCACCCCGGCUAAAGCCCCGACGGGAGGGGAUGGCUCCGCGGCCCAUCAGGUAGACGGCGGGGUGACGGCCCACCGUGCCGACAACGGGUAGCCGGGUUGAGAGACCGACCGGCCAGAUUGGGACUGAGACACGGCCCAGACUCCUACGGGAGGCAGCAGUGGGGAAUCUUGCGCAAUGGGGGGAACCCUGACGCAGCGACGCCGCGUGCGGGACGGAGGCCUUCGGGUCGUAAACCGCUUUCAGCAGGGAAGAGUCAAGACUGUACCUGCAGAAGAAGCCCC